Molecule: unclassified non-coding RNA, 229 nt
Filed under: plant metagenome
Description: partial contains small subunit ribosomal RNA, internal transcribed spacer 1, and 5.8S ribosomal RNA
Source: RNAcentral
UCUCCGUAGGUGAACCUGCGGAGGGAUCAUUACAGAGUUCAUGCCCUACCGGGUAGAUCUCCCACCCUAUGUUAUUAUUACUUUGUUGCUUUUGCGGGCCGUUAGGCUCCGGCCCGACUACCGGCCCCGGCUGGUAAGCGCCCGCCAGAGGACCCAAAACCCUGAAUAUUAGUGUUGUCUGAGUACUAUAUAAUAGUUAAAACUUUCAACAACGGAUCUCUUGGUUCUG